UGCUCUGCAGGCAAAAGCACCUUGUUGAUGAGACAGGUCAGAGGAGAAGGCCUAAACCGGUUUAAGCUGAAGGGAAGGCUAUGCAAACUCAACCACUCUACAACCGUGGGGUCUGACUCACCUUCACUGGACAGUUACAGAUUAAGGCUGCAACCUUUGCAUACAAAAAGAAGAAUCUGAAAAAAGAUGAUGUGCUUCAAGAAGUCGCCGAUGUCAUGAAGUACGCAGCCCACAGGCCUGGAGGGUCUAAGUACAAGCCGCCAAAGAAUAAAACCCAGAAUGGAGGACCUCAACUAGAUGACAGCAACACUGAGAAUGAUGCCUGGACAGCAGUUGACUAGACAGCAAUUGACUAAUGAACAUGCUAAUUUGUUUAAAAUGAACAUAAUGGCUUAAUUUCUGGUAGAUCAGAUUAAUGUGACACUGUCUUUGCUUACUGUUGUAGUGAAUA
Neoarius graeffei (lesser salmon catfish) is the source of this 451-nucleotide long non-coding RNA. RefSeq lists it as uncharacterized. Lineage: Eukaryota; Metazoa; Chordata; Actinopteri; Siluriformes; Ariidae. The record is from RefSeq and is a predicted model, not a curated record. The transcript is spliced from 3 exons.